AGCGAACGCUGGCGGCGUGCCUAACACAUGCAAGUCGAGCGAAGGCAUGAGUGUAGCAAUACACUUAUGUACUUAGCGGCGGACGGGUGAGUAACACGUGGAUAAUCUGCCCUGAGGACCGGGACAACUCUUGGAAACGGGAGCUAAUACCGGAUGUGACCACGAUGUCUGAGGACGUUGAGGUAAAGGGCGGCCUGCAAGGGCUAUUGCCUUGGGAUGAGUUCACGACCCAUCAGGUAGUUGGGGAGGGUAGAC
RNAcentral lists this ribosomal RNA (255 nucleotides) under uncultured bacterium. Its description in RNAcentral is "partial 16S ribosomal RNA". It matches the Rfam family "Bacterial small subunit ribosomal RNA", at positions 29 to 263 of the family's 1533-position model. The record is from RNAcentral.